Long non-coding RNA from Hibiscus syriacus, 101 nucleotides. RefSeq lists it as uncharacterized. The record is from RefSeq and is a predicted model, not a curated record. The transcript has 2 exons. Lineage: Eukaryota; Viridiplantae; Streptophyta; Magnoliopsida; Malvales; Malvaceae.
GAUUUGCAGUUGCUGCUAAGGAUGCCCUUCAAGAAAUGGUUUUUGAUGCCGAGUCAAAGUCCCUUUUGCACAUAGAGAUGGCAAAGAAAAAUCUAUUUGUU